UGGGCAGGGAUUGUGUGUAUCGGUGUUGUGCUGCGACUGUUGCAUGAUUCCGAAAGAGUUCCCUGCAAAAUAAAUUUGGGGAAGAUGGGCAGUUGUGUUUCACUUUAAUUGAAAAUAACAACAAUCAUCUCCCCUACAUUU
Non-coding RNA from Glycine soja, 141 nucleotides. The record is from Rfam. NCBI's taxonomy places the organism in Eukaryota, Viridiplantae, Streptophyta, Magnoliopsida, Fabales, Fabaceae.